Molecule: long non-coding RNA, 843 nt
Organism: Chiloscyllium plagiosum (whitespotted bambooshark)
Lineage: Eukaryota; Metazoa; Chordata; Chondrichthyes; Orectolobiformes; Hemiscylliidae
Source: RefSeq, a predicted model, not a curated record
UCUGACGUGAUAAAGGCCCGUUCCUGGGUAAUAUUCAGCACCCUAGGGCAAGAAAGAGAGGGAUAGAAAACAGUGAACAGAACACAGCAAUGAGAGUCAGAUUUCAUAAAUUUCCUUUGAAAGAAAUAAGUAUUGAAUUAAAAAGGAAUGUUGGAAAGUAUUUAAAGCAAGGAAGGAUUGGGAUUAGGCCAGAUGGCUUGUAUUAAAAAGAGGUUAACUUAAUGGCCCAUGUCGAGUGAAAUCUGUGAAUAUGGGCACCUAGGGAACAGACAUCAAGUGUCUGUUUUUUUGCAAACAUAUAUUGUUCAGUAUGUCAUUUUAGAUCUGUUAAAUAGUCAACAUUGGCCUGGAGAUCACAUUACACUCGGCUGCAAGAACUACUCCUUCCUCAAAUGGCCCAGGAGAUGGCUACUAAAGUUCUUUUUCAUUGAUGUGGUUGGCACUGACAAGUUGUUGCCACUCCCAGUUGCCCUGAGAACAUGGUGCUUGCCAGGCAACUGAAAGGUCAUUCAGAGUCACCCACAUUGGUCGAGAGGCUGGAGUCACAGAAAAGGCAAAUCAUGUUUCCCCAAAGCAGCAUCACUGCUGGACUUCCUGACACAUUGUAAAGUCAGCGGGUGGAACUGUAGAGAAAACAUCUGUCCAUAAGAAUGAUGUUAAUGGGAACAGACUCAGAGCUGGGCAGGAGCAAAGACACUACUGGAUCACAGAACUUCAAAGCAGGUGAUAAAGAUGGUAAGGACAUUAACACAAAAGCUAAUGGAACACUAGAUUUUACCAAAAAGAAUGGAAUAUAAAGGCCAAGAGGUAAUGAUGAAUCUACAUAAAAUGUUAUGAUGAGUU